GACGAACGCUGGCGGCGUGCCUAAUACAUGCAAGUUGAGCGCUGAAGGUUGGUACUUGUACCAACUGGAUGAGCAGCGAACGGGUGAGUAACGCGUGGGGAAUCUGCCUUUGAGCGGGGGACAACAUUUGGAAACGAAUGCUAAUACCGCAUAAAAACUUUAAACACAAGUUUUAAGUUUGAAAGAUGCAAUUGCAUCACUCAAAGAUGAUCCCGCGUUGUAUUAGCUAGUUGGUGAGGUAAAGGCUCACCAAGGCGAGGAUACAUAGCCGACCUGAGAGGGUGAUCGGCCACAUUGGGACUGAGACACGGCCCAAACUCCUACGGGAGGCAGCAGUAGGGAAUCUUCGGCAAUGGACGAAAGUCUGACCGAGCAACGCCGCGGGAGUGAAGAAGGUUGUCGGAUCGUAAAACUCUGUUGGUAGAGAAGAACGUUGGUGAGAGUGGAAAGCUCAUCAAGUGACGGUAACUACCCAGAAAGGGACGGCUAACUACGUG
RNAcentral lists this ribosomal RNA (497 nucleotides) under uncultured bacterium. RNAcentral's name for it is "partial 16S ribosomal RNA". It matches the Rfam family "Bacterial small subunit ribosomal RNA", at positions 28 to 507 of the family's 1533-position model. The record is from RNAcentral.